RNAcentral lists this ribosomal RNA (468 nucleotides) under uncultured bacterium. RNAcentral's name for it is "partial 16S ribosomal RNA". It matches the Rfam family "Bacterial small subunit ribosomal RNA", at positions 28 to 507 of the family's 1533-position model. The record is from RNAcentral.
GACGAACGCUGGCGGCGUGCUUAACACAUGCAAGUCGAACGGAAAGGCCCUGCUUUUGUGGGGUGCUCGAGUGGCGAACGGGUGAGUAACACGUGAGUAACCUGCCCUUGACUUUGGGAUAACUCCAGGAAACUGGGGCUAAUACCGGAUAGGAGCUCCUGCUGCAUGGUGGGGGUUGGAAAGUUUCGGCGGUUGGGGAUGGACUCGCGGCUUAUCAGCUUGUUGGUGGGGUAGUGGCUUACCAAGGCUUUGACGGGUAGCCGGCCUGAGAGGGUGACCGGCGACAUUGGGACUGAGAUACGGCGCAGACUCCUACGGGAGGCAGCAGUGGGGAAUAUUGCGCAAUGGGCGGAAGCCUGAUGCAGCAACGCCGCGUGCGGGAUGACGGCCUUCGGGUUAAGAACCGCUUUCGCCUGUGACGAAGCGUGAGUGACGGUAAUGGGUAAAGAAGCACCGGCUAACUACGUG